RNAcentral lists this ribosomal RNA (272 nucleotides) under uncultured Lachnospiraceae bacterium. Its description in RNAcentral is "partial 16S ribosomal RNA". It matches the Rfam family "Bacterial small subunit ribosomal RNA", at positions 65 to 339 of the family's 1533-position model. The record is from RNAcentral. Lineage: Bacteria; Bacillati; Bacillota; Clostridia; Lachnospirales; Lachnospiraceae.
AGUGAGUAGCUUGCUAUGAGCUGUUUUAGCGGCGGACGGGUGAGUAACGCGUGGGUAACCUGCCUCACACUGGGGGAUAACAGUUAGAAAUAGCUGCUAAUACCGCAUAAGCGCACGGUUCCGCAUGGAACAGUGUGAAAAACUCCGGUGGUACAGGAUGGACCCGCGUCUGAUUAGCUUGUUGGCAGGGUAACGGCCUACCAAGGCAACGAUCAGUAGCCGACCUGAGAGGGUGACCGGCCACAUUGGGACUGAGACACGGCCCAGACUCC